RNAcentral lists this ribosomal RNA (253 nucleotides) under uncultured bacterium. RNAcentral's name for it is "partial 16S ribosomal RNA". It matches the Rfam family "Bacterial small subunit ribosomal RNA", at positions 524 to 776 of the family's 1533-position model. The record is from RNAcentral.
UACGGGGGGGGCAAGCGUUGUUCGGAAUUACUGGGCGUAAAGGGCGCGUAGGCGGCCAACUAAGUCAGGUGUGAAAUCCCUCGGCUUAACCGGGGAACUGCGUCUGAUACUGGAUGGCUUGAGUUUGGGAGAGGGAUGCGGAAUUCCAGGUGUAGCGGUGAAAUGCGUAGAUAUCUGGAGGAACACCGGUGGCGAAGGCGGCAUCCUGGACCAACACUGACACUGAGGAGCGAAAGCCAGGGGAGCAAACGGG